This 433-nucleotide ribosomal RNA is filed under the name uncultured bacterium. RNAcentral describes it as "partial 16S ribosomal RNA". It matches the Rfam family "Bacterial small subunit ribosomal RNA", at positions 29 to 507 of the family's 1533-position model. The record is from RNAcentral.
AACGAACGCUGGCGGCAUGCCUAACACAUGCAAGUCGAACGAGACCUUCGUGUCUAUUGGCGCACGGGUGCUGAACGCGGGGGAAGCUGCCCUUGGGUUCGGUAUAACAGUGAGAAAUUACUGCUAAUACCGGAGGAUGUCUUCGGACCAAAGAGGUAUCGCCCAGGGGUGGGCCCGCGUAGGCUUAGCUAGUUGGUGGGGUAAUGGCAGACCAAGGCGACGAUGCUGAGCUGGUCUGAGAGGAUGCUCAGCCACACUGGGAAUGAGACACGGCCCAGACGCCUACGGAAGGCAGGAGUAGGGAAUAUUGGACACUGGGCGCAAGCCCGAUCCAGCAAUGCCGCGUGAGUGAUGAAGGCCUUAGGGUUGUAAAGCUCUCUUACACGGGAUGUUAGUGACAGUAACGGGAGAAUAAGCUCCGGCUAACUACGUG